AUUGAACGCUGGCGGCAUGCCUUACACAUGCAAGUCGAACGGUAACAGGUCUUCGGACGCUGACGAGUGGCGAACGGGUGAGUAAUACAUCGGAACGUGCCCAGUCGUGGGGGAUAACUACUCGAAAGAGUAGCUAAUACCGCAUACGAUCUGAGGAUGAAGGCAGGGGAUCGCAAGACCUUGUGCUACUAGAGCGGCCGAUGGCAGAUUAGGUAGUUGGUGGGAUAAAAGCUUACCAAGCCAACGAUCUGUAGCUGGUCUGAAAGGACGAUCAGCCACACUGGGACUGAGACACGGCCCAG
Molecule: ribosomal RNA, 302 nt
Filed under: uncultured bacterium
Lineage: Bacteria
Description: bacterial SSU rRNA
Rfam family: Bacterial small subunit ribosomal RNA
Source: RNAcentral